AUUAAGCAUAUCAAUAAGCGGAGGAAAAGAAACUAACAAGGAUUCCCCUAGUAACUGCGAGUGAAGAGGGAAAAGCUCAAAUUUAAAAUCUGUCAGUCUUUGGCUGACUGAGUUGUAAAUUAGAGAAGUGCUAUCAGUGCUGGCCUGUGCAAAAGUCUCUUGGAAAAGAGCAUCAUAGAGGGUGACAAUCCCGUCUUUGGUACAGAUCUCCAGUGCUUCCAUGAUGCACUCUCGAUGAGUCGAGUUGUUUGGGAAUGCAGCUCUAAAUGGGUGGUAAAUUCCAUCUAAAGCUAAAUAUUGGCGAGAAACCGAUAGCGCACAAGUACCGUGAGGGAAAGAUGAAAAGAACUUUGAAAAGAGAGUUAAACAGUACGUGAAAUUGUUGAAAGGGAAACGCUUGAAGUCAGUCGUGUUCUUCAGAAAUCAACCUGACUUUGGUCUGGCUUACUUUCUGUUGAAUGGGUCAGCAUCAAUUUUGAUCAUUGGAUAAAGACCUUGGGAAAGUGGCAUCCCCGGAUGUGUUAUAGCCCUUGGAUCACAUACAAUGGUUGGGAUUGAGGAACUCAGUGUGAAUUUGGGGCUUUGCUCACAACACGCACUUAGGAUGCUGGCAUAAUGGCUUUAAUCGACCCGUCUUGAAACACGGACCAAGGAGUCUAACAUACAUGCGAGUGUU
RNAcentral lists this ribosomal RNA (676 nucleotides) under Clavaria globospora. Its description in RNAcentral is "LSU rRNA". It matches the Rfam family "Eukaryotic large subunit ribosomal RNA", at positions 33 to 694 of the family's 3401-position model. The record is from RNAcentral. Lineage: Eukaryota; Fungi; Basidiomycota; Agaricomycetes; Agaricales; Clavariaceae.